Molecule: ribosomal RNA, 332 nt
Filed under: uncultured bacterium
Lineage: Bacteria
Description: bacterial SSU rRNA
Rfam family: Bacterial small subunit ribosomal RNA
Source: RNAcentral
UGCGUAGGCGGCCCGGGAAGUUGGGUGUGAAAGCCCUCGGCUCAACCGAGGAACUGCGCCCAAAACUGCCGGGCUGGAGGGAGACAUAGGUGAGCGGAACUUAGGGUGGAGCGGUGAAAUGCGUUGAGAUCCUAAGGAACACCAGUAGCGAAAGCGGCUCACUGGGUCUCUUCUGACGCUGAGGCACGAAAGCUAGGGGAGCGAAGAGGAUUAGAUACCCUCGUAGUCCUAGCUGUAAACGAUGAGCACUGGUUUGGAGGGUCCUCCAUAGCCUUCCAGACGUAGCGAAAGUGUUAAGUGCUCCGCCUGGGGAGUAUGGUCGCAAGGCUGAA